AUACAGAGGGUGCAAGCGUUAAUCGGAAUUACUGGGCGUAAAGCGCGCGUAGGCGGUUUGUUAAGUCGGAUGUGAAAUCCCUGGGCUCAACCUGGGAACUGCAUUCGAAACUGAUUGACUAGAGUAUGGUAGAGGGUGGUGGAAUUCCUAGUGUAGCGGUGAAAUGCGUAGAUAUUAGGGGGAACAUCAGUGGCGAAGGCGACCACCUGGACCAAUACUGACGCUGAGGUGCGAAAGCGUGGGGAGCAAACAGGAUUAGAAACCCUAGUAGUCC
This 274-nucleotide ribosomal RNA is filed under the name uncultured bacterium. RNAcentral's name for it is "partial 16S ribosomal RNA". It matches the Rfam family "Bacterial small subunit ribosomal RNA", at positions 523 to 796 of the family's 1533-position model. The record is from RNAcentral.